GCCACACUGGAACUGAGACACGGUCCAGACUCCUACGGGAGGCAGCAGUGGGGAAUAUUGCACAAUGGGCGCAAGCCUGAUGCAGCCAUGCCGCGUGUGGAAGAAGGCCUUCGGGUUGUAAAGCACUUUCAGCGGGGAGGAAGGCGGUGAGGUUAAUAACCUUCAUCGAUUGACGUUACCCGCAGAAGAAGCCCCGUCAACUUCGCGGGGG
Molecule: ribosomal RNA, 211 nt
Filed under: Klebsiella sp. UM003A/B
Lineage: Bacteria; Pseudomonadati; Pseudomonadota; Gammaproteobacteria; Enterobacterales; Enterobacteriaceae
Description: partial 16S ribosomal RNA
Rfam family: Bacterial small subunit ribosomal RNA
Source: RNAcentral